UCUACUUUAUUGUAAAUCCCCGAUUGUAUCUGAAGUUAUUUUCAGGAACUUUAUGGUGCAUGCUCCCAAACCUGUGUGCCAUUUCCCAAUUGAAGCACAGAGAGAGAGAGAGAGAGAGAGAGAGAGAGAGAGAGAGAGAGUUUGACACCAUAAUCUCUCCACAUUGUGACUCCAGCUGAAAUGAAAUUUGAUAGAAAACAGUUCUACAGGGAGGGAAUUAAAGAGCUAGCCAAGAAUGUGCUGUUACAUAAAGUUCACAUGGACUUUGUUGGCUGUAGUACUGAAAUAUAACAGUUGACAUUCUUGUAAAUCCUUCAAUGGUAUGGUUGGUCAUGUCAGACAUUUGUCUCCUGUAGUUACCUAGUCCUCUGCUAAAUUCCCAUGGUUCACAGGUGGGAAGUAAAUAAUGUGGUAUUCACAAACAAUGGGAAGGAAACUUUGUGAAAAGAUUAGAACAAACCUGGAAGAUUUCAAAAAGGGCCACAACAAUAAUUGUGCCUCAUUGUUACCCUGCUGGAUAAGAAGAUGAAAGAAGUACUGCAAAAUAUCUAGGAACCAGAGAGAAAGAAUACUGUUUGUUCUGGAGAACCCUGAGAUUUGCUGAAAUAUGUACACCCACACAGAGUGAGAGAGUGAGGGGCACUAGAGAACAUCCCAGUGUGGUCACAUAUUAUGGCCACAUAAUGGUUAUGCUUCUGUACAGGAAAUAAUGAAAAAACCAGCAACUGGGGAGGUGAAAUUGAAUGUUCUUAAUGAAGUCAGACUGGCUGCUUGGAACACUGAACAAAAGCUAUUGCAACACUGCAGUUGCUAAUUCUAAUAAUUAGGGUUGGGCAAAUUUUUCGUAUGUCCAUUAAAUUCGUUUCAAAUUCGGAUCUAAAGCACUUUUGAAGCGAGUUUUGACACAUCUGCUCACUGUCUUCCUAAUAUUACAAAUUUGAAUCAAAAGGCACCUUUUUUUGUCUGUCUCUGAUGUCUUCGGAUGUAGCUGUAGCCCCGCUGAGAGGUGAAGCCAUGUUGGCAUGCCUCUCAGCCAAUCAGGGCAGAAGAGAGAGGGAGAGGCGGGGCAUUGUUCUUGUUGCCCUUAAAAAAAUGUUAGAAAAUUCCCAAAAAAUCACUGGAUGGGCCGAACAUUAUGAAACUUGAUAGGCAAAGAGUGGUGAAUUUUUGCUUUGAUUGUGGCAAAUUUCAUCUCAAUAGCUUUCAAAAAGCAGGAGAAUGAAGCCUCUGAAUUUUCCCCAUUUAUAAAAGCAUUGGGCUGAAGCAGACAUUUCUCCAAUAGUACUAUGCCCGCUUUAAAACUACAAUACCCAGAUGUCCCAGGCCCUCUCUCCUCUUAACAUUCCCCACCCCCUUUUGUCCUCAGAAUCAUAGAAUAGUAGAGUUGGAAGAGACCUCAUGGGCCAUCCAGUCCAACCCCAUUCUGCCAAGAAGCAGAAAAUCGCAUUCAAAGCACCCCUGACAGAUGGCCAUCCAGCCUCUGCUUAAAAGCCUCCAAAGAAGGAGCCUCCACCACACUUGGGGGGAGGGAGUUCCACUGCCAAACAGCUCUCACAGUGAGGAAGUUAUUCCUAAUGUUCAGGUGAAAUCUCCUCUCCUGUAGUUUGAAGCCAUUGUUCCAUUGCGGCCUAGUCUCCAGGGCAGCAGAAAACAAGCUUGCUCCCUCCUCCCUAUGACUACUCCUCACGUAUUUAUACAUCAUGUCUCCUCUUCUCUUCUACAGGCUAAACAUGCCCAGUUCUUUAAGCCGCUCCUCAUAGGGCUUGUUCUCCAAACCCUUGAUCAUUUUAGUUGCCCUCCUCUGACCAUCUUGACCAAACUUUCAUAAGACAGAUUUGCAUGCUUCUAAGACUGUCACAGGAAGGCAUCAAGAAAAAGAGUUAAGACUUGGAAAUUUCCUUAUAUGCCCCAAAAUAUAUAACCAGUAAGUAAAACCUUUUGAUUGACAUACCUACUACCUAGUAAAAAAAUUUGCACAUUAAAAUGGUUUAUGUAGACAAAAGCAAUUGUUCAUAAUGCCUGACUUCAGUAGAGUUCCCAAACAAUGUCUCGGAUGGUU
Anolis carolinensis (green anole) is the source of this 2059-nucleotide long non-coding RNA. RefSeq lists it as uncharacterized. NCBI's taxonomy places the organism in Eukaryota, Metazoa, Chordata, Lepidosauria, Squamata, Anolidae. The transcript has 4 exons. The record is from RefSeq and is a predicted model, not a curated record.